GCUCCAAUAGCGUAUAUUUAAGUUGCUGCAGUUAAAAAGCUCGUAGUUGGAUUUCGGGUGGGGCCUGCCGGUCCGCCGUUUCGGUGUGCACUGGCCGGGCCACCUUGUUGCCGGGACGGGCGUCCUGGGCUUCACUGUCCGGGACUCGGAGUCGGCGAGGUUACUUUGAGUAAUUAGAGUGUUCAAGCAGGCCACCGCUC
RNAcentral lists this ribosomal RNA (200 nucleotides) under uncultured eukaryote. RNAcentral describes it as "partial 18S ribosomal RNA". It matches the Rfam family "Eukaryotic small subunit ribosomal RNA", at positions 588 to 796 of the family's 1831-position model. The record is from RNAcentral.